RNAcentral lists this small RNA (88 nucleotides) under Propithecus coquereli (Coquerel's sifaka). RNAcentral's name for it is "Y RNA (ENSPCOG00000001470.1)". Lineage: Eukaryota; Metazoa; Chordata; Mammalia; Primates; Indriidae. The record is from RNAcentral.
AGCUUAUAGUAGGUUAUCAGAAAUUCCUAACAUCAGUGUCUCUAAAGUUGGUAUAUAACCCCCCACUGCUAAAUUUGACUGGCUUAAA